This 158-nucleotide ribosomal RNA is filed under the name Aspergillus nomiae. Its description in RNAcentral is "Aspergillus nomius 5.8S ribosomal RNA". It matches the Rfam family "5.8S ribosomal RNA". From Rfam's summary of the family: 5.8S ribosomal RNA (5.8S rRNA) is a component of the large subunit of the eukaryotic ribosome. It is transcribed by RNA polymerase I as part of the 45S precursor that also contains 18S and 28S rRNA. Lineage: Eukaryota; Fungi; Ascomycota; Eurotiomycetes; Eurotiales; Aspergillaceae. The record is from RNAcentral.
UAAAACUUUCAACAAUGGAUCUCUUGGUUCCGGCAUCGAUGAAGAACGCAGCGAAAUGCGAUAACUAGUGUGAAUUGCAGAAUUCCGUGAAUCAUCGAGUCUUUGAACGCACAUUGCGCCCCCUGGUAUUCCGGGGGGCAUGCCUGUCCGAGCGUCAU